UGGAGGCAGCAGUGAGGAAUAUUGGUCAAUGGGCGGAAGCCUGAACCAGCCAUCCCGCGUGCAGGAUGACAGCCCUAGAGGUUGUAAACUGCUUUUCUUCAGGAAGAAUAAGGACUACGUGUAGUUCGAUGACUGUACUGGGGGAAUAAGCAUCGGCUAACUCCGUGCCAGCAGCCGCGGUAAUACGGAGGAUGCAAGCGUUAUCCGGAUUUAUUAGGUUUAAAGGGUGCGUAGGCGGAAGCUUAAGUCAGUGGUAAAAGGCAAUAGCUUAACUACUGUAAGCCAUUGAUACUGGGUUUCUUGAGUACGGUAGAGGUAGGCGGAAUGUGUUGUGUAGCGGUGAAAUGCAUAGAUAUAACACAGAACACCGAUUGCGAAGGCAGCUUACUAUGCCGUUACUGACGCUGAUGCACGAAAGCGUGGGGAUCAAACAGGAUUAGAUACCCCGGU
This 450-nucleotide ribosomal RNA is filed under the name uncultured bacterium. RNAcentral's name for it is "bacterial SSU rRNA". It matches the Rfam family "Bacterial small subunit ribosomal RNA", at positions 343 to 791 of the family's 1533-position model. The record is from RNAcentral.